GAUUCAGUGACAUUUGACGACGUGAUACAGCACCUCACAAAAGGAGUGGUUGAGACCGGACACCGAGCAGAGGAUAUUGGCAUAUUACAUGAAUGUGACCUCCGUGGGAGUUCCCGUUUUGAAUCCUUCCUGGUGUGAGGACACGUGCUGCUGGUAUCUGCCCCAUCCCUUAAUGCAGAUUGAGCGAAGCAUUCUGGGUAGCAGUGUUUUGUGGUUCUCAUCUCCGAAGGCAUCUUGGUGA
Molecule: long non-coding RNA, 241 nt
Filed under: Ursus maritimus (polar bear)
Lineage: Eukaryota; Metazoa; Chordata; Mammalia; Carnivora; Ursidae
Description: lncRNA (ENSUMAG00000021262.1)
Source: RNAcentral